Molecule: ribosomal RNA, 2903 nt
Filed under: Escherichia coli KTE217
Lineage: Bacteria; Pseudomonadati; Pseudomonadota; Gammaproteobacteria; Enterobacterales; Enterobacteriaceae
Description: bacterial LSU rRNA
Rfam family: Bacterial large subunit ribosomal RNA
Source: RNAcentral
UUAAGCGACUAAGCGUACACGGUGGAUGCCCUGGCAGUCAGAGGCGAUGAAGGACGUGCUAAUCUGCGAUAAGCGUCGGUAAGGUGAUAUGAACCGUUAUAACCGGCGAUUUCCGAAUGGGGAAACCCAGUGUGAUUCGUCACACUAUCAUUAACUGAAUCCAUAGGUUAAUGAGGCGAACCGGGGGAACUGAAACAUCUAAGUACCCCGAGGAAAAGAAAUCAACCGAGAUUCCCCCAGUAGCGGCGAGCGAACGGGGAGGAGCCCAGAGCCUGAAUCAGUGUGUGUGUUAGUGGAAGCGUCUGGAAAGGCGCGCGAUACAGGGUGACAGCCCCGUACACAAAAAUGCACAUACUGUGAGCUCGAUGAGUAGGGCGGGACACGUGGUAUCCUGUCUGAAUAUGGGGGGACCAUCCUCCAAGGCUAAAUACUCCUGACUGACCGAUAGUGAACCAGUACCGUGAGGGAAAGGCGAAAAGAACCCCGGCGAGGGGAGUGAAAAAGAACCUGAAACCGUGUACGUACAAGCAGUGGGAGCCUCUUAAUGGGGUGACUGCGUACCUUUUGUAUAAUGGGUCAGCGACUUAUAUUCUGUAGCAAGGUUAACCGAAUAGGGGAGCCGAAGGGAAACCGAGUCUUAACUGGGCGUUAAGUUGCAGGGUAUAGACCCGAAACCCGGUGAUCUAGCCAUGGGCAGGUUGAAGGUUGGGUAACACUAACUGGAGGACCGAACCGACUAAUGUUGAAAAAUUAGCGGAUGACUUGUGGCUGGGGGGGAAAGGCCAAUCAAACCGGGAGAUAGCUGGUUCUCCCCGAAAGCUAUUUAGGUAGCGCCUCGUGAAUUCAUCUCCGGGGGUAGAGCACUGUUUCGGCAAGGGGGUCAUCCCGACUUACCAACCCGAUGCAAACUGCGAAUACCGGAGAAUGUUAUCACGGGAGACACACGGCGGGUGCUAACGUCCGUCGUGAAGAGGGAAACAACCCAGACCGCCAGCUAAGGUCCCAAAGUCAUGGUUAAGUGGGAAACGAUGUGGGAAGGCCCAGACAGCCAGGAUGUUGGCUUAGAAGCAGCCAUCAUUUAAAGAAAGCGUAAUAGCUCACUGGUCGAGUCGGCCUGCGCGGAAGAUGUAACGGGGCUAAACCAUGCACCGAAGCUGCGGCAGCGACGCUUAUGCGUUGUUGGGUAGGGGAGCGUUCUGUAAGCCUGUGAAGGUGGCCUGUGAGGGUUGCUGGAGGUAUCAGAAGUGCGAAUGCUGACAUAAGUAACGAUAAAGCGGGUGAAAAGCCCGCUCGCCGGAAGACCAAGGGUUCCUGUCCAACGUUAAUCGGGGCAGGGUGAGUCGACCCCUAAGGCGAGGCCGAAAGGCGUAGUCGAUGGGAAACAGGUUAAUAUUCCUGUACUUGGUGUUACUGCGAAGGGGGGACGGAGAAGGCUAUGUUGGCCGGGCGACGGUUGUCCCGGUUUAAGCGUGUAGGCUGGUUUUCCAGGCAAAUCCGGAAAACCAAGGCUGAGGCGUGAUGACGAGGCACUACGGUGCUGAAGCGACAAAUGCCCUGCUUCCAGGAAAAGCCUCUAAGCAUCAGGUAACAUUAAAUCGUACCCCAAACCGACACAGGUGGUCAGGUAGAGAAUACCAAGGCACUUGAGAGAACUCGGGUGAAGGAACUAGGCAAAAUGGUGCCGUAACUUCGGGAGAAGGCACGCUGAUAUGUAGGUGAAGCGACUUGCUCGUGGAGCUGAAAUCAGUCGAAGAUACCAGCUGGCUGCAACUGUUUAUUAAAAACACAGCACUGUGCAAACACGAAAGUGGACGUAUACGGUGUGACGCCUGCCCGGUGCCGGAAGGUUAAUUGAUGGGGUUAGCGGUAACGCGAAGCUCUUGAUCGAAGCCCCGGUAAACGGCGGCCGUAACUAUAACGGUCCUAAGGUAGCGAAAUUCCUUGUCGGGUAAGUUCCGACCUGCACGAAUGGCGUAAUGAUGGCCAGGCUGUCUCCACCCGAGACUCAGUGAAAUUGAACUCGCUGUGAAGAUGCAGUGUACCCGCGGCAAGACGGAAAGACCCCGUGAACCUUUACUAUAGCUUGACACUGAACAUUGAGCCUUGAUGUGUAGGAUAGGUGGGAGGCUUUGAAGUGUGGACGCCAGUCUGCAUGGAGCCGACCUUGAAAUACCACCCUUUAAUGUUUGAUGUUCUAACGUGGGCCCCUUACCGGGGUUGCGGACAGUGUCUGGUGGGUAGUUUGACUGGGGCGGUCUCCUCCUAAAGAGUAACGGAGGAGCACGAAGGUUGGCUAAUCCUGGUCGGACAUCAGGAGGUUAGUGCAAUGGCAUAAGCCAGCUUGACUGCGAGCGUGACGGCGCGAGCAGGUGCGAAAGCAGGUCAUAGUGAUCCGGUGGUUCUGAAUGGAAGGGCCAUCGCUCAACGGAUAAAAGGUACUCCGGGGAUAACAGGCUGAUACCGCCCAAGAGUUCAUAUCGACGGCGGUGUUUGGCACCUCGAUGUCGGCUCAUCACAUCCUGGGGCUGAAGUAGGUCCCAAGGGUAUGGCUGUUCGCCAUUUAAAGUGGUACGCGAGCUGGGUUUAGAACGUCGUGAGACAGUUCGGUCCCUAUCUGCCGUGGGCGCUGGAGAACUGAGGGGGGCUGCUCCUAGUACGAGAGGACCGGAGUGGACGCAUCACUGGUGUUCGGGUUGUCAUGCCAAUGGCACUGCCCGGUAGCUAAAUGCGGAAGAGAUAAGUGCUGAAAGCAUCUAAGCACGAAACUUGCCCCGAGAUGAGUUCUCCCUGACUCCCUGAGAGUCCUGAAGGAACGUUGAAGACGACGACGUUGAUAGGCCGGGUGUGUAAGCGCAGCGAUGCGUUGAGCUAACCGGUACUAAUGAACCGUGAGGCUUAACCUU